CGGAGGUGCAAGCGUUAUCCGGAUUCACUGGGUUUAAAGGGUGCGUAGGAGGGCAGGUAAGUCAGUGGUGAAAUCUCUGGGCUCAACCCGGAAACUGCCGUUGAUACUAUCUGUCUUGAAUACUGUGGAGGUGAGCGGAAUAUGUCAUGUAGCGGUGAAAUGCUUAGAUAUGACAUAGAACACCAAUUGCGAAGGCAGCUCACUACACAUAUAUUGACUCUGAGGCACGAAAGCGUGGGGAUCAAACAGGAUU
RNAcentral lists this ribosomal RNA (253 nucleotides) under uncultured bacterium. Its description in RNAcentral is "partial 16S ribosomal RNA". It matches the Rfam family "Bacterial small subunit ribosomal RNA", at positions 527 to 779 of the family's 1533-position model. The record is from RNAcentral.